Molecule: long non-coding RNA, 802 nt
Organism: Pectinophora gossypiella (pink bollworm)
Lineage: Eukaryota; Metazoa; Arthropoda; Insecta; Lepidoptera; Gelechiidae
Exons: 2
Source: RefSeq, a predicted model, not a curated record
UUGUAUGUUAUUUUUAUUAAUUGAUAAUACUUUUAGUUAAUCACUUUGUAAAGUCUUACAAAUGUUUAAAACAAAAGGAAAAUGCAACGACGGAUUUUUCUUUUGCAACUGAAGUAAUGAAACGCAAAAAAAAAAGAAAAAUGACGUUAUGUUAUAUCAGCUGACAUACUUGAAUUCGCGCCGAAUGCAACAGUUUUAUCUUUUCAGAAUUUAUACAAUAACAACAGUAACGAAAGAAAUGUAAGUAAAUUAUUAAUCUAGUAGUAGUAAGAAACAAGUCAAAAAAGAAUAGUCACAUAAUGAACCUAUUCAUUGUUCAACUAAAUAGUUUGUUGGAAACUUGUAAAUGUAUCUUUUUGUUUUUUUAGAUCACCGAUUUACUACCUACUAGAUCUAAAGAGUCGGAGGCUAGACAUGGAGGAGCGACUUGUUUCAGCAGUCGACAAGCUGGCUGGCUACAGCUGCUGAAGCUAAUAGCAAGGCUGCGGAUAUGCAAACAGAGUUGCUUCGGCUGCUGCUGGAGGAAGUUAGGUGAAGACCAAUAUAAGGUUAAAGAAUAGCAGCAUGACGAUUCUCAAGAACGAAGACACUAGAGAAACCUAAGUUAAAAUACUUAAGUAAAAACAUAUGUAUUCAAUAAGCUUGUAUGUAAAUAUUUAAGCUAAAGUAUAAGUACUCCAUUUAUGUUAUUUAAGUGAAGUUGUAUGAUCCUGAAACAUAUAUUUAAUUUAAAUACUUAAGUUUGGUCAUGUUAUUUAAGUGAGUUUGUCUAGGGGUAACAUUAAAGUACAUUAAAGACAAA